Molecule: ribosomal RNA, 796 nt
Filed under: Triticum aestivum (bread wheat)
Lineage: Eukaryota; Viridiplantae; Streptophyta; Magnoliopsida; Poales; Poaceae
Description: partial small subunit ribosomal RNA
Source: RNAcentral
CGUGUGUGAACGGAGGUUGUUGGAGAGGAUCACCGUGACGAGAGGGUCACAGCGUCUAGAACAACUGAACGAGUCAGAGGCCCAGAGGAGGACGAGAGCUUCAGAGCUCGAGCGUUCCAACUUCCGCUGCGGCAGGUUCCCGGCCGGCCUCGUUGGCGGAGUCUAAAGAUCGGGCACGGAGAAACAGAGGGAGUUCGGCCGUCGACGAAAAUAAGCAAUUUAGGGUUCUUAUAUGGUACCUAAAGCCUGUUUUCUGCCGCCGCUAUCACUGUAAAUACUUCAUGCGCCCCCGGUACUUUCCGAAGUUCCAGCCACGUCGUCGACGUCGACAACAUCGGCGCUGGUGCCGACGGUAUAGGCCCUUUCUGUGCUUGUUUACGUCGGGGUUCGGUUCUUGUUCUACUAUAUACGAGUACUCAACCACCUCUUCGUGAGACAGCUUUACUGAUCAUACAGUUGUUGAGUUGUAGGUGGUUGUAUAGUCGUGAAACAACCGUUACGGCAUUAACGUGAAACAUGAAUUACCAUCUAAUUCGAUAGAAGUCCCCAGUACGAUGAAGUAGGCAACCUUUUACAGUGUGGACAAAGACACUCGUACUGCCACCUUGACUCAUUUUGUGUAGGUACCAGUAAUUUGAACCGAGAUUCCAAAUCAAACUAGUGAUAGACCCCACUUCGAUCUUGUUUUUAGGUAACAACAAUCGAAAUAAUAAAUCGCGGUAAGAACAUGAAUAUUUGUCACUACACCUGAUAGGUUAUUUCACGACCGAUUUAAUGUAACCACGAUCGAUUGGUG